UUAACGAAUCAAACAAGUUCAUCUUGUUCUGAUCCUGUGCACCUUAUGUAGUCCCAAAGCCUUCACGGGCGGCGGUUGACUACGUCUACCUCACACCUUAAAGUAUGUUAACGAAUGUAAUCAUGGUCUUGACAGACCCUAAAAAGUUAAUACAACUUUCGACAACGGAUCUCUUGGCUCUCGCAUCGAUGAAGAACGCAGCGAAAUGCGAUAAGUAAUGUGAAUUGCAGAAUUCAGUGAAUCAUCGAAUCUUUGAACGCACCUUGCGCCCUUUGGUAUUCCGAGGGGCAUGCCUGUUUGAGUGUCAUUAAAUACCAUCAACCCUCUUUUGACUUCGGUCUCGAGAGUGGCUUGGAAGUGGAGGUCUGCUGGAGCCUAACGGAGCCAGCUCCUCUUAAAUGUAUUAGCGGAUUUCCCUUGCGGGAUCGCGUCUCCGAUGUGAUAAUUUCUACGUCGUUGACCAUCUCGGGGCUGACCUAGUCAGUUUCAAUAGGAGUCUGCUUCUAACCGUCUCUUGACCGAGACUAGCGACUUGUGCGCUAACUUUGACUGACC
Molecule: ribosomal RNA, 555 nt
Filed under: Schizophyllum commune
Lineage: Eukaryota; Fungi; Basidiomycota; Agaricomycetes; Agaricales; Schizophyllaceae
Description: eukaryotic LSU rRNA
Rfam family: 5.8S ribosomal RNA (bases 154-307)
Source: RNAcentral